This 429-nucleotide ribosomal RNA is filed under the name Chloroflexota bacterium. Its description in RNAcentral is "Chloroflexi bacterium partial 16S ribosomal RNA". It matches the Rfam family "Bacterial small subunit ribosomal RNA", at positions 355 to 776 of the family's 1533-position model. The record is from RNAcentral. Lineage: Bacteria; Bacillati; Chloroflexota.
UGGGGAAUAUUGCACAAUGGGCGCAAGCCUGAUGCAGCCAUGCCGCGUGUAUGAAGAAGGCCUUCGGGUUGUAAAGUACUUUCAGCGGGGAGGAAGGGAGUAAAGUUAAUACCUUUGCUCAUUGACGUUACCCGCAGAAGAAGCACCGGCUAACUCCGUGCCAGCAGCCGCGGUAAUACGGAGGGUGCAAGCGUUAAUCGGAAUUACUGGGCGUAAAGCGCACGCAGGCGGUCUGUCAAGUCGGAUGUGAAAUCCCCGGGCUUAACCUGGGAACUGCAUUCGAAACUGGCAGGCUAGAGUCAUGUAGAGGGGGGUAGAAUUCCAGGUGUAGCGGUGAAAUGCGUAGAGAUCUGGAGGAAUACCGGUGGCGAAGGCGGCCCCCUGGACGAAGACUGACGCUCAGGUGCGAAAGCGUGGGGAGCAAACAGG